ACAUACAGGUGCUGCAUGGCUGUCGUCAGCUCGUGUCGUGAGAUGUUGGGUUAAGUCCCGCAACGAGCGCAACCCUUUUCCUUAUUUGCCAGCGGGUUAAGCCGGGAACUUUAAGGAUACUGCCAGUGACAAACUGGAGGAAGGCGGGGACGACGUCAAGUCAUCAUGGCCCUUACGACCAGGGCUACACACGUGCUACAAUGGUAGGUACAGAGGGUUGCUACACAGCGAUGUGAUGCUAAUCUCAAAAAGCCUAUCGU
RNAcentral lists this ribosomal RNA (260 nucleotides) under Mycobacterium tuberculosis. Its description in RNAcentral is "partial 16S ribosomal RNA". It matches the Rfam family "Bacterial small subunit ribosomal RNA", at positions 1030 to 1289 of the family's 1533-position model. The record is from RNAcentral. Lineage: Bacteria; Bacillati; Actinomycetota; Actinomycetes; Mycobacteriales; Mycobacteriaceae.